AUGCCUACAGUCCUGGAUCCAGUAAUAAGUCUAUUAGUCGAGACUAUAAGAACAGUGUCUUUCAGUCCCUUGGGGUAUGACCCUCACAGGAAGAAAAGUCAUUGUCAGAAUCUACCAAUUGGAGACUACCUACGACGUGAGCCCACAGCAAGUCUUCACCCACUACAUUUGCAGCAAGAUGCCUUCACUCUGUCAGUGUUCCACAUUUCUGUAAUCCGAUCCUCACCCUAAAUAUCAUUUAGAGUUACUCAAGUCUGAAUGACAGUCCUAAUCCACGAGUAGGUAAGGCUGAACUCAAGCUCAAGGCUUCCCUUAUCCCUUAGUCCAGAAAUGAAGUUUGGUGACACUUUCAGAAGAGCCUGUGCUUUAUCUAGGCCAUCAAGUCAGCCGCAAAACCAUGCAAGUUAAUUGGAAACAUUAAACUGAGAAGGAUUCUUAAUCAAGCCAUGACCGCUAUUAGUAACUGGGUACUGGGGAAAAAGGUGGAUAAUAGUGGAUAAUAUUUUUUUUUUUACUAUACAUAAUGAUUGUCUUAAAUUUGCACAUUAGACAAAUCCUCAAACAGUGCACAGGGCCACCAGCAAUCCUGAUCUGAGGUUCAGCAGUUGCACAAAUACGCACACAGCUUAUGUGAACCAGAAAAAUGAAACCUGUCCAAGAUCCUAAAAGCUCCCAAACCAACAUGAGGCUUUAAUGUGAGCAACUGUAAGAUGAUUUAUUUUUUCAGAUCAAAUACACAAAGUUCUGGAUGUAAUUCUGUUAAGCAGUUUUACAUCUUGCCACUAGGACUUUUUUUCCCUCUAUGCUAAGCUUUAAUAUCCUUUCAAAUGCAUUAAUGUGUCCCUGGAACAGAUGCUUAGAGACUCCUGCAUGCUUUGAAUAUUUCCACUUUAAAAACGGUAUUCAAUACUUACUGAGACUUUAUGUACCACCUCUCUGGCACCAGAGCUUGUAAAACACUAAGAGAAAUGGCUCUUUGCCCAAAAAAAAUAUGUCCAAGGAGCAAAAUCUUGCUUCAAAUCAUCCCACAACCAAAACAAAACAAAACCAAAAAAGUGGGACUAUAUAUACCACCUC
Molecule: long non-coding RNA, 1077 nt
Filed under: Anas platyrhynchos platyrhynchos (common mallard)
Lineage: Eukaryota; Metazoa; Chordata; Aves; Anseriformes; Anatidae
Description: lncRNA (ENSAPLG00000022279.1)
Source: RNAcentral